RNAcentral lists this ribosomal RNA (484 nucleotides) under uncultured bacterium. RNAcentral describes it as "partial 16S ribosomal RNA". It matches the Rfam family "Bacterial small subunit ribosomal RNA", at positions 30 to 507 of the family's 1533-position model. The record is from RNAcentral.
AUUGAACGCUGGCGGCAGGCCUAACACAUGCAAGUCGAGCGGAUGAAGGGAGCUUGCUCCUGGAUUCAGCGGCGGACGGGUGAGUAAUGCCUAGGAAUCUGCCUGGUAGUGGGGGAUAACGUCCGGAAACGGGCGCUAAUACCGCAUACGUCCUGAGGGAGAAAGUGGGGGAUCUUCGGACCUCACGCUAUCAGAUGAGCCUAGGUCGGAUUAGCUAGUUGGUGGGGUAAAGGCCUACCAAGGCGACGAUCCGUAACUGGUCUGAGAGGAUGACCAGUCACACUGGAACUGGACCACGAUCCAGACUCCUACGGGAGGCAGCAGUGGGGAAUAUUGGACAAUGGGCGAAAGCCUGAUCCAGCCAUGCCGCGUGUGUGAAGAAGGUCUUCGGAUUGUAAAGCACUUUAAGUUGGGAGGAAGGGCAGUAAGUUAAUACCUUGCUGUUUUGACGUUACCAACAGAAUAAGCACCGGCUAACUUCGUG